UGUGGGUCAUAAGCCCGGCUGUGACGGCAUAUUUGAUUGGCUGAGUGGAGGACAGGACGCCUGCUGAAAGUUGUUUUCAGAUUUCUCUCUCUCUCUCUCUCUCUCUCUCUCUCUCUCUCUCUCUCUCUCUCUCUCUCUCUCUCUCUAAGAGAACUCUGUUGAUGAUCUCAUACAUCCGUCACAUAGCUAACUAAAAUUAGCCUGGUGUUUCCUUCCUUAUAGACACACCAUUUAAUCCCAUUCAUAAUUCUGCUCGUCUUGCACUGCCAUACUUAUCCUCAGUGCUGUGUCAGGUAUGGCUGCACGACACAACAUUCUGGUACAGGGGAGAAAAAUUCGCUCUGGGUUGUUUGGAUUUCUUUAAACCAAUCACAAUCGGCUCAGGCGGCGCUAAGCCCCGGAUGCAGUGGCGAUGCCCUUACAAGAUAAAUGACGGAGAUAGCAGAAGGGGACCGCACUGUACAGCCGGUCAGAAUUUGGUUUGACUAGACUGAAAGUCCAACCUGAAGGCUGCGUUCAAAUGCAAGGGUGUUAAAACAGAUGGCUUCAAGAAAAAAACCGCAGUGUCGGCCUGCAAAACCGUUUAACGUGGUCCAACUUUUGCCUGGAUGCAGUGUAACCAACGCCAUCUACCAAGGCCCUGCGUUGGCCAAUCAACGCCGUGCAAGCUCACAUUCCUGGUUAAUUACUUUGUAACAUAAACAGUGUAAUGUAUAUUAAAAACUGACGACACGUCUUCAAAUUCAUUGAUCUAUUACUCAAA
Molecule: long non-coding RNA, 763 nt
Organism: Perca fluviatilis (European perch)
Lineage: Eukaryota; Metazoa; Chordata; Actinopteri; Perciformes; Percidae
Exons: 2
Source: RefSeq, a predicted model, not a curated record